Molecule: ribosomal RNA, 477 nt
Filed under: uncultured Planctomycetota bacterium
Lineage: Bacteria; Pseudomonadati; Planctomycetota
Description: bacterial SSU rRNA
Rfam family: Bacterial small subunit ribosomal RNA
Source: RNAcentral
UUCGCAAUGCCCGAAAGGGUGACGAAGCGACGCCGCGUGUGGGAAGAAGGCCUUCGGGUUGUAAACCACUGUCGGGAGUUAAGAAAUGUAAGGGUGUUAAUAGCGCCUUUACUUGACAAGGGCUCCGGAGGAAGCCACGGCUAACUCUGUGCCAGCAGCCGCGGUAAUACAGAGGCGGCGAGCGUUGUUCGGAAUUAUUGGGCGUAAAGAGCACGUAGGCGGCUUUGCAAGUCAGUUGUGAAAGCCUUCCGCUUAACGGAAGAACAGCAGCUGAUACUACAGAGCUUGAGUACGGGAGGGGAGAGUGGAACUUCUGGUGGAGCGGUGAAAUGCGUAGAUAUCAGAAGGAACGCCGGCGGCGAAAGCGAUUCUCUGGUCCGAAACUGACGCUGAGUGUGCGAAAGCUAGGGGAUCAAACGGGAUUAGAUACCCCGGUAGUCCUAGCCGUAAACGAUGGGCACUAAGUAGAGGGGUUUU